RNAcentral lists this ribosomal RNA (254 nucleotides) under uncultured microorganism. RNAcentral describes it as "partial 16S ribosomal RNA". It matches the Rfam family "Archaeal small subunit ribosomal RNA", at positions 474 to 727 of the family's 1478-position model. The record is from RNAcentral.
CACCGACGGCUCGAGUGGUGGCCACCUUUAUUGGGUCUAAAGCGUCCGUAGCCGGCGUGGCAAGUCCCCUGGGAAAUCUGGCGGCUUAACCGUCAGGCGUCCAGAGGAUACUGCCAGGCUUGGGACCGGGAGAGGUGAGAGGUACCUCAGGGGUAGGGGUGAAAUCUUGUGAUCCCUGAGGGACCACCAGUGGCGAAGGCGUCUCACUAGAACGUGUCCGACGGUCAGGGACGAAAGCUGGGGGCACGAACCGG